AUACUUACUUGGUAGGGGAGAUACCAAGAUCAUGAAUAUGGUUUGCCCAGGGUGAGGCUUAUUCACUGCAUUAUGGAUGUGCUGACCCCAGCAAUUUCCCCAAAUAUGAGAAACCCUUGACUGCAUGAUUUGUGGUGGUGGUGGGGGUACUAUGUUCACUCUCUCCCA
This 168-nucleotide small nuclear RNA is filed under the name Nannospalax galili (Upper Galilee mountains blind mole rat). Its description in RNAcentral is "U1 spliceosomal RNA (ENSNGAG00000005162.1)". It matches the Rfam family "U1 spliceosomal RNA". From Rfam's summary of the family: U1 is a small nuclear RNA (snRNA) component of the spliceosome (involved in pre-mRNA splicing). Its 5' end forms complementary base pairs with the 5' splice junction, thus defining the 5' donor site of an intron. There are significant differences in sequence and secondary structure between metazoan and yeast U1 snRNAs, the latter being much longer (568 nucleotides as compared to 164 nucleotides in human). The record is from Rfam by way of RNAcentral. Lineage: Eukaryota; Metazoa; Chordata; Mammalia; Rodentia; Spalacidae.